AGAGGGAGAAUCCCGACCUUACUCCAGGAACUGUAUUCGAAUCGAUGGUGGAGUGUCAUAAUGCAGUGACUACAUAUUGCAUUGUCACUGAAAACUCUUAUGAGGUUGAUAGGAGUGAGCCAGGAAGAUUCACUAUUCAUUGCCCUUAUGAUAGGUGUAGGUUGCAUGCAUCCACUAUGUGAAAGAGCAAAUUGAUUCAGGUAUUACAACUAAAUAUUAAUUGUACUAUUUGUUAAAUGUAUUUGACAUCAUUUUUCACCUUGU
RNAcentral lists this long non-coding RNA (264 nucleotides) under Hordeum vulgare. RNAcentral's name for it is "long non-coding RNA (HVUL_LNC007272)". Lineage: Eukaryota; Viridiplantae; Streptophyta; Magnoliopsida; Poales; Poaceae. The record is from RNAcentral.